UACGUAGGGUGCAAGCGUUGUCCGGAAUUAUUGGGCGUAAAGAGCUCGUAGGCGGUUUGUCGCGUCGAAUGUGAAAACCCGGGGCUCAACCCCGGGCCUGCAUUCGAUACGGGCAGACUAGAGUUCGGUAGGGGAGUCUGGAAUUCCUGGUGUAGCGGUGAAAUGCGCAGAUAUCAGGAGGAACACCGGUGGCGAAGGCGGUUCUCUGGGCAUUACCUGACGCUGGAGGCGCGAAAGCCAGGGGAGCAAACGGG
RNAcentral lists this ribosomal RNA (254 nucleotides) under uncultured bacterium. Its description in RNAcentral is "partial 16S ribosomal RNA". It matches the Rfam family "Bacterial small subunit ribosomal RNA", at positions 524 to 776 of the family's 1533-position model. The record is from RNAcentral.